Molecule: ribosomal RNA, 253 nt
Filed under: uncultured bacterium
Lineage: Bacteria
Description: partial 16S ribosomal RNA
Rfam family: Bacterial small subunit ribosomal RNA
Source: RNAcentral
UACAGAGGGUGCGAGCGUUGUCCGGAAUCACUGGGCGUAAAGGGCGCGUAGGCGGCUCGGUAAGCGUGCGGUGAAAGCCCGGGGCUCAACCCCGGGUCGGCCGUGCGAACUGCAGAGCUGGAGCACUGUAGAGGCAGGUGGAAUUCCGGGUGUAGCGGUGGAAUGCGUAGAGAUCCGGAAGAACACCGGUGGCGAAGGCGGCCUGCUGGGCAGUUGCUGACGCUGAGGCGCGACAGCUAGGGGAGCGAACGGG